RNAcentral lists this ribosomal RNA (461 nucleotides) under uncultured bacterium. Its description in RNAcentral is "partial 16S ribosomal RNA". It matches the Rfam family "Bacterial small subunit ribosomal RNA", at positions 28 to 523 of the family's 1533-position model. The record is from RNAcentral.
GAUGAACGCUGGCGGCGUGCCUAACACAUGCAAGUCGAGCGAUUCUCUUCGGAGAAGAGCGGCGGACGGGUGAGUAACGCGUGGGUAACCUGCCCUGUACACACGGAUAACAUACCGAAAGGUAUGCUAAUACGAGAUAAUAUGCUUUUGUCGCAUGGUAGAAGUAUCAAAGCUCCGGCGGUACAGGAUGGACCCGCGUCUGAUUAGCUAGUUGGUAAGGUAACGGCUUACCAAGGCGACGAUCAGUAGCCGACCUGAGAGGGUGAUCGGCCACAUUGGAACUGAGACACGGUCCAAACUCCUACGGGAGGCAGCAGUGGGGAAUAUUGCACAAUGGGCGAAAGCCUGAUGCAGCAACGCCGCGUGAGCGAUGAAGCAUUUCGGCGUGUAAACCUCUUUUGCCAAGACAUCGAGUCUUGGAGAAUGAGCAUCUACUAACUACGUGCCAGCAGCCGCAGUAA